AAUCUCUCUUGCAGUGGAUGGAUUUGAAAGGCUAUGUUUGUAUUGUACCGCUCCAAGGGGCAGGAGCGCCUUUUGCUGCUCUUACUUUGAUGCCACUACUCAGCGUGUUCCUGCCCUUUUUGUUAGCCUCUAGCAAAAAGCUGGCCACCCAAAAGAAGUUGAUGGCGAGUAGGAGUGCCCGUGGAGGACUUGAUAGGUUCGUUAUCUUAAAAUUGAUUGUGUAAUAACU
RNAcentral lists this long non-coding RNA (229 nucleotides) under Hordeum vulgare. RNAcentral's name for it is "long non-coding RNA (HVUL_LNC013834)". Lineage: Eukaryota; Viridiplantae; Streptophyta; Magnoliopsida; Poales; Poaceae. The record is from RNAcentral.